CCUGGAGAUGGCCUAGGGUAAUCGGGCCAGAAGGCAGGUAGAUAGGGCAGGAAAAUAACAGGGCCUCUGUGAGCCCAGGAGGGUGAGUGGACUACCAAGAGGCCGAGCAAAUUCGGCAGAGGCUGGGAUGCGUGCGGACGGUGGAGCCUGCAGGAUGAAGGAGAACAGACGUGCGCCAAGCGGAGAACCCUUCGGGCUGGCCCUCACCGUGGAGUCCGUAAAGGACGAGCCCGGGAGUAAGGGCAGGCCGUGCACCGGGUUGGUCACCAUCGCUGCCCCGCAGUUGCCGCCACGGUUGCCUUCUGCCGCUCGGGUUGCCCUGGCAACAAACAGCACUCGCGGGCCUCUGCUGACUCCAAGAUUCCUGUAAGUGCGCAGAACUUUACUGGGUAACUGUUGACUGAGAAGUGCCUACCUUAGUCCCUACUUCAUACCUAUAACAUCAGUGAAACCUAAGAACCUCAGAGGAAGAGAGACCGACUCAGAGAAAGAAGCAACUUGGGUGAGUGAAAUGUUGUCAGUGUCAUGUGUACUAACAAGUAUCAAACUUUAUGGACAACCUAAUUUCCUUUUCAAAAAAAAAAAAGACCCUGAAAGGUCUUUAAAGAAAGGUAAAGGAAGAAACCAAGAAUCCAUCAGCAUGGAGAAGUUAAAAAUAAAACGAUGCCCAGAGAUUUGGUUCCCAU
This 686-nucleotide long non-coding RNA is filed under the name Rattus norvegicus (Norway rat). RNAcentral's name for it is "long non-coding RNA NONRATT029855". Lineage: Eukaryota; Metazoa; Chordata; Mammalia; Rodentia; Muridae. The record is from RNAcentral.